CAGUAGCCGCGGUAAUACAGAGGGUGCGAGCGUUAAUCGGAUUUACUGGGCGUAAAGCGUGCGUAGGCGGCUUCUUAAGUCGGAUGUGAAAUCCCUGAGCUUAACUUAGGAAUUGCAUUCGAUACUGGGAAGCUAGAGUAUGGGAGAGGAUGGUAGAAUUCCAGGUGUAGCGGUGAAAUGCGUAGAGAUCUGGAGGAAUACCGAUGGCGAAGGCAGCCAUCUGGCCUAUACUGACGCUGAGGUACGAAAGCAUGGGGAGCAAACAGGAUUAGAUACCCGAGUAGUCACUGUCUCUUAUACA
This 301-nucleotide ribosomal RNA is filed under the name uncultured bacterium. RNAcentral describes it as "partial 16S ribosomal RNA". It matches the Rfam family "Bacterial small subunit ribosomal RNA", at positions 509 to 808 of the family's 1533-position model. The record is from RNAcentral.